CAAUAGCGUAUAUUAAAGUUGUUGCAGUUAAAAAGCUCGUAGUUGGAUUUCUGGUGGGAGCGAUCGGUCUGGCGCUUAGCGCGAGUACUUGCAUCGUCUCCGGCCAUCCUUGGGGAGAGUCUGUCAGGCAUUAGGUUGUCGGGCAGAGGAUCCUCAUCGUUUACUGUGAAAAAAUUAGAGUGUUCAAAGCAGGCUUAUGCCGUUGAAUAUAUUAGCAUGGAAUAAUAAGAUAGGACUUUGGUACUAUUUUGUUGGUUUGCGCACCAAAGUAAUGAUUAAUAGGGACAGUUGGGGGUAUUCGUAUUCCGUUGUCAGAGGUGAAAUUCUUGGAUUUACGGAAGACGAACUACUGCGAAAGCAUUUACCAAGGAUGUUUUCAUUAA
RNAcentral lists this ribosomal RNA (383 nucleotides) under uncultured eukaryote. RNAcentral's name for it is "partial 18S ribosomal RNA". It matches the Rfam family "Eukaryotic small subunit ribosomal RNA", at positions 592 to 976 of the family's 1831-position model. The record is from RNAcentral.